GAGUUUGAUCCUGGCUCAGAUUGAACGCUGGCGGCAGGCCUAACACAUGCAAGUCGAGCGGAUGACGGGAGCUUGCUCCUUGAUUCAGCGGCGGACGGGUGAGUAAUGCCUAGGAAUCUGCCUGGUAGUGGGGGACAACGUUUCGAAAGGAACGCUAAUACCGCAUACGUCCUACGGGAGAAAGCAGGGGACCUUCGGGCCUUGCGCUAUCAGAUGAGCCUAGGUCGGAUUAGCUAGUUGGUGGGGUAAUGGCUCACCAAGGCGACGACCCGUAGCAGGUCUGAGAGGAUGAUCUGCCACACUGGAACUGAGACACGGUCCAGACUCCUACGGGAGGCAGCAGUGGGGAAUUUUGGACAAUGGGGGCAACCCUGAUCCAGCCAUGCCGCGUGAGUGAAGAAGGUCUUCGGAUUGUAAAGCACUUUAAGUUGGGAGGAAGGGCAGUAAGUUAAUACCUUGCUGUUUUGACGUUACCGACAGAAUAAGCACCGGCUAACUCUGUGCCAGCCGCCGCGGU
RNAcentral lists this ribosomal RNA (517 nucleotides) under bacterium enrichment culture clone ALO1_GLFRUDD03F93Q2. RNAcentral's name for it is "bacterial SSU rRNA". It matches the Rfam family "Bacterial small subunit ribosomal RNA", at positions 9 to 521 of the family's 1533-position model. The record is from RNAcentral.